Oreochromis aureus is the source of this 469-nucleotide long non-coding RNA. NCBI's taxonomy places the organism in Eukaryota, Metazoa, Chordata, Actinopteri, Cichliformes, Cichlidae. The record is from Ensembl.
AAGAGUGACGUAUGUGCAGGGGAUUGUUGCUCUGUUUCCAUAUCUGGAAGACCCAUAUUCACAACAUGGAUAUGAACAUUACUAUGAUCCAGAGAGCGGUUCAGGAUACCUUGCGUGGCGGUUGAAGACCAUUCAAAGAAAAGCUGCAGAGGAAAGAAGUGUCUCAGUUUCCAAAUCUCCUAAAAUUGGCGGGCCAGGCCGUGGUCGAUCCAGACCACUCACCACUGAGACAGUGUUAUCAGAUGAGGAUGUAAAAGCAGCUAUUGCUCUUUUGAAACACUCUGCGGAUGAAGACACGAUCCGUGAAAAGAUGAAAGCUACCUUCAUUUAUCGGCAUUCAAUGGUCAGCGAUGAUAAGAAUGCAGCAGAUGUCUUCAUAGUCUUCCCGCGGUUUCUGGACACACCAGGACUGGUAAGACAUCUUCAUUUGUUGAAUCACCGAAAUAUUCCAUGCAGCUUGCAAUUUCAC